This 178-nucleotide ribosomal RNA is filed under the name uncultured Staphylococcus sp. Its description in RNAcentral is "partial 16S ribosomal RNA". It matches the Rfam family "Bacterial small subunit ribosomal RNA", at positions 162 to 334 of the family's 1533-position model. Lineage: Bacteria; Bacillati; Bacillota; Bacilli; Caryophanales; Staphylococcaceae. The record is from RNAcentral.
GCUAAUACUGGAUAAUAUUUUGAACCGCAUGGUUCAAAAGUGAAAGACGGUCUUGCUGUCACUUAUAGAUGGAUCCGCGCUGCAUUAGCUAGUUGGUAAGGUAACGGCUUACCAAGGCAACGAUGCAUAGCCGACCUGAGAGGGUGAUCGGCCACACUGGAACUGAGACGCGGUCCAG